ACCCCCUCUCUUUCAUCUCGAAUUGGGCAUUCAUAGUUUCACCUCAGCUAGAUCUAAAUAUCACAGCUGAUGCUCGAGUAAUUGUAAACUGCAUGCAUUAUUUGUUGUUUCACCCUGAUAAUCAAAAACAGCUAUGGUAUUUUGUUUUUUUAACCUUUGGGGUGACUUUUAAAGAGCUAAAAUGGUUGAAAUUAUUUUUACGCUAGUGGAAAGGAAACUCUGUCUCGGGUGAUGAUGUAUUAUAGUCGUGCGCUGUACUCUGCUACAGAGUCCUCGUGUGAUGACAUCCACCUGUUACCCUUCAGAUGCUUGAUUUACACCUCAUCCCACCUAUUGUUGAGUGUGAGUCUUCAACAAUCAAAUGGAAUUCAACGCUCUCAAUGAUCUCAUACUUGCGGAACCAGGAGGCUGUGAAUGGCACUUUGGCCCAACAGAGGCACAACCUGGCCACACUGACCAACCUACAGUGUGAAAAACUCCAGAAGCUGGAGGUUGUUCUUGAACAGGGUUCAAGAACAACCUCCAGCUCCAAGUAUGUCCCUCUCUCAAGCACACACACUCACUCAUACACACACCUCCCCUCUCUCUCCCCCUUUCAUGCACUAACCUCCAUCUCUCUAUCAUACCUUUCUUCUUUCCCAAUAAAGUGAGUUCAUUAUUGCCAUAUUUUUGUUCCAUUGCAGACAUGUGACUGAGCUGCUUGGAGUUGACAGCUAUGUGUCAUGCUCUGUUGUGCUCCCCGCAAUCUACCAUCUCAACUGUGUCCUGGAGCCCACUGAUGAGGAUCUGGGCUACAUGAUAAAGUUCAAAACCACCUUUUUAAAGGACCUGGACGCACGCAAAGCCGAUAUAAGCCAAUAUUCAGAUGGCUGAAGGUGGCCACAGCCCUUGACCCACGAUUCAAGGACUUAAAGAGCCUACACAAAAAUGAAAGAGAUGAGGUGUGGACCUGGAUUGAUGAGAUGCUGCAACGGUCAGAAGCAGGACCUGCCCCUCCUCAACCCACAGAGGACAAGCCAGCAGCAAAGAAGAGCUUCCUCCUGUUGUGUUCUUCAGACUCUGACUCUGACAAGGAGGAGCAGGGGCUUCUAGCCCGCUACAAAGCUGAGCCGUGCCUUGGAAUGCAUGAGUGUCCACUGGAGUGGUGGGCAGUUCACGCAGGAGCCUAUGGACAACUGUCCUCUCCUCCUCUUGCUCGCAAGUAUCUGGCUACUCCUGCAACGUCAGUGCCAUGCGAGAGACUCUUUUCACUCGCAGGUAACAUCAUACAGAAGAAGAGGGCAGCCUUACACUCUGACAAUGUAAACAAGCUUGUCUGUCUGAGCAACUGGCUGAAGAAGACAUAAUGUUGUCUGUUGUUACAUCCUGUGGGUUUUUGAUUUCAGAGGUUGAUACUUAAACCACAGAUCCACUUUUGGGGUUGAGGUGUUGUGCCCCAGAUACU
Molecule: long non-coding RNA, 1444 nt
Organism: Synchiropus splendidus (mandarinfish)
Lineage: Eukaryota; Metazoa; Chordata; Actinopteri; Syngnathiformes; Callionymidae
Exons: 3
Source: RefSeq, a predicted model, not a curated record